UCCCAGUUCGGAUUGUAGUCUGCAACCCGACUACAUGAAGCUGGAAUCGCUAGUAAUCGCGAAUCAGAAUGUCGCGGUGAAUACGUUCCCGGGUCUUGUACACACCGCCCGUCACACCAUGGGAGUCGGAAAUGCCCGAAGUCAGUGACCCAACCGUAAGGAGGGAGCUGCCGAAGGUGGAGCCGGUAACUGGGGUGAAGUCGUAACAAGGUAGC
This 215-nucleotide ribosomal RNA is filed under the name uncultured bacterium. Its description in RNAcentral is "partial 16S ribosomal RNA". It matches the Rfam family "Bacterial small subunit ribosomal RNA", at positions 1286 to 1500 of the family's 1533-position model. The record is from RNAcentral.